Molecule: non-coding RNA, 168 nt
Organism: Roseburia intestinalis XB6B4
Lineage: Bacteria; Bacillati; Bacillota; Clostridia; Lachnospirales; Lachnospiraceae
Source: Rfam
UUUGGAAGGAAAUUAGAAACUCUUAGGAUGCCUGUUCGCAACAUAGUGUUGUGCUGCCAUGGACGGCAGCACAAGUCCUAAUGUGCCCGGAUGGCGCAUUUAGGACGUACACGUCACUCCGCCCCAACCUGAAUCAGGCAUGCUUAGAGUUUCUUAUUUUCGGACAAC